CCUACGGGAGACAGCAGUGGGGGAUAUUGCACAAUGGGGGAAACCCUGAUGCAGCGACGCCGCGUGGGUGAAGAAGCGCCUCGGCGCGUAAAGCCCUGUCAGCAGGGAAGAAAAUGACGGUACCUGAAGAAGAAGCCCCGGCUAACUACGUGCCAGCAGCCGCGGUAAUACGUAGGGGGCAAGCGUUAUCCGGAUUUACUGGGUGGAAAGGGGGCGCAGACGGCGAUGCAAGCCAGGAGUGAAAGCGCGGGGCCCAACCCCGGGACUGCUCUUGGAACUGCGUGGCUAGAGUGCAGGAGGGGCAGGCGGAAUGCCUGGUGUAGCGGUGAAAUGCGUAGAUAUCAGGAGGAACACCGGUGGCGAAGGCGGCCGGCUGGACUGCAACUGACGUUGAGGCCCGAAAGCGUGGGGAGCAAACAGGAUUAGAUACCCCAGUAGUC
This 440-nucleotide ribosomal RNA is filed under the name uncultured bacterium. RNAcentral's name for it is "partial 16S ribosomal RNA". It matches the Rfam family "Bacterial small subunit ribosomal RNA", at positions 338 to 795 of the family's 1533-position model. The record is from RNAcentral.